AUGAUGUCACGAAGACGCUGGAGGUGUUUGCUGAUAUUCUUGCCGGAGACCCUGGCCUCACCUGGUGGUCAAGAACAGUGGGGUGUUAGCUGUAAAUCUGUAGAAGAUGGUGAACAGGAUGACAUAAAUUGUGAUGAACUAGAGAAUGAAAGCCAGGAAGCUGCAGAAAUGGAGACUCGGGAUCAAAACGAUACUGAGCAGGGGGACAUAGCAGUUGCAGAGUGGCUUGAUAGGUUUAGAGGGAUUUUUUAUCCGUGUUUUGUGGAAGAGCUUUGUAGGGAUGAUGCUGAAACUGACUGGAAUUACAUCAGCACUAUGAUGAAUUCAGAAGUGAUGGGCUAUAGGAUUGACUGGCCGAAGAAGUUCAUGUUCCCGGUGAAUUUCAUGGAUUGUUAG
This 396-nucleotide ribosomal RNA is filed under the name Triticum aestivum (bread wheat). RNAcentral describes it as "partial small subunit ribosomal RNA". Lineage: Eukaryota; Viridiplantae; Streptophyta; Magnoliopsida; Poales; Poaceae. The record is from RNAcentral.